RNAcentral lists this ribosomal RNA (253 nucleotides) under uncultured bacterium. RNAcentral's name for it is "partial 16S ribosomal RNA". It matches the Rfam family "Bacterial small subunit ribosomal RNA", at positions 524 to 776 of the family's 1533-position model. The record is from RNAcentral.
GACAGAGGGGGCAAGCGUUGCUCGGAAUCACUGGGCGUAAAGGGCGCGUAGGCGGCCCGCUAAGUCGAACGUGAAAUCCCCGGGCUCAACCCGGGAACUGCGUCCGAUACUGGCAGGCUUGAAUCCGGGAGAGGGAUGUGGAAUUCCAGGUGUAGCGGUGAAAUGCGUAGAUAUCUGGAGGAACACCGGUGGCGAAGGCGGCAUCCUGGACCGGUAUUGACGCUGAUGCGCGAAAGCCAGGGGAGCAAACGGG